UGACCCAGCAACGCCGCGUGGAGGAUGAAUGCCGUAAGGUUGUAAACUCCUGUUAGAGGGGACGAAUAAUUCCGAUAACCUCGGAACUUGACUGUACCCUCAGAGAAAGCCCCGGCUAAAUACGUGCCAGCAGCCGCGGUAAUACGUAUGGUGCGAACGUUGUUCGGAAUUACUGGGCAUAAAGAGCACGUAGGCGGUUGGGCAAGUCCAUUGUGAAAUCCCCACGGCUCAACCGGGGAACUGCAGUGGAUACUACUCGACUUGAGUGCAGGAGGGGAGAGUGGAAUUCCAGGUGGAGCGGUGAAAUGCGUAGAUAUCUGGAGGAACGCCGGUGGCGAAAGCGACUCUCUGGUCUGCAACUGACGCUGAGGUGCGAAAGCUAGGGGAGCAAACGGGAUUAGAUACCCCGGUAGUCCUAGCCCUAAACGAU
Molecule: ribosomal RNA, 430 nt
Filed under: uncultured bacterium
Lineage: Bacteria
Description: bacterial SSU rRNA
Rfam family: Bacterial small subunit ribosomal RNA
Source: RNAcentral